GAGCUGCUGCUCACACGUGAUAUUUGAUUGGCCAGAACACUGCCAUCCAACAAGGUAGCUUUCAAAUUGCAGAGCUCUACAUGUUGUCUGAUGCAAGUACACAAAAUAUAGAGCUUUAUUACGUGAAUGAACUACCAAGAACGUGUUCGGGGAGUGUACUCCGUUCCGUGGAAUGGGAACGGUGCAGAUUAAACAAAACUCACUGAAUUUGCAGUUUUGGCCUAUUGGCCUCAGCCAAAUUGCACUAGGUACUGUACACAACUACGAAACCGUCAAAAUCGUACUAUUUCUCACCAUUUGCCAACACUGAUGCAGGUUGCUUCUUCGCGUUCUCUCCGUUCUUCCUGCUGUUGGCCGCCUUAUCGGCUUCUCUGGCGGCGUUGAUGUCCUUCUGGCUCAGGAAGCUCGGCUGGUUGGUUGAAGACAGCAGCCUCGCCCACAUCCUGUCGGUUAUCCUCACCUUGUUCCUCGUCGAUGUUACCCUCUGUUGUCAGGAUAAAAUUUGAAGUAAUGUUAAAAGGUGCAAAGGUAAAAUCAUGAAAUUCCUCAGAAGUUUCAUUCCUUCUAGAAGACAAAUCCCAUCUCUAGUGAAAGCAAAGCUACAGGAGAAAUUUUAGUUGAGCUUCAAUGCCCACUUAGGUGCUUUGCAAAAUUUCAGACCAAAUGCAGUGCAAUGCAAUUGCUACUGGAGUACUGGUAAGUGGUGAGGUGUACGCUCCUUAUGUGCUCCUUUUAUGAAACACAAGGCUUGUUUAGAAUUAUACUGAGUUGAACUCAUUUCUUUUUAGCAUGCAGCAAGCAAGAUUGUGCCAAGCGAGCGAAAUGUUUGGGCAUCUUAGCAUGAUCCACCAUGACAGCUGUCUCUGCCAAAAAGAAACUAAAUAAGAAAUUCAACGGCCCAGAGGAUAUACUGGUGGCCCUGAACCUAUGUGCUUAUUUCCUAAAACUUGCAUCCAACUGGCAGGAAGGGCAUACUAAUACCAUCUAUGUUUACGAAAGGAUAGAGCGAAAGUUAUAC
This 1018-nucleotide long non-coding RNA is filed under the name Setaria italica (foxtail millet). RNAcentral's name for it is "long non-coding RNA (SITA_LNC003982)". The record is from RNAcentral. Lineage: Eukaryota; Viridiplantae; Streptophyta; Magnoliopsida; Poales; Poaceae.